CUUCGGGUCGUAAAGCUCUGUUGUUAAGGAAGAACAAGUACGAGAGUAACUGCUCGUACCUUGACGGUACUUAACGAGAAAGCCACGGCUAACUACGUGCCAGCAGCCGCGGUAAUACGUAGGUGGCGAGCGUUAUCCGGAAUUAUUGGGCGUAAAGCGCGCGCAGGCGGUUUCUUAAGUCUGAUGUGAAAGCCCACGGCUCAACCGUGGAGGGUCAUUGGAAACUGGGAAACUUGAGUGCAGAAGAGGAAAGCGGAAUUCCACGUGUAGCGGUGAAAUGCGUAGAGAUGUGGAGGAACACCAGUGGCGAAGGCGGCUUUCUGGUCUGUAACUGACGCUGAGGCGCGAAAGCGUGGGGAGCAAACAGGAUUAGAUACCCUGGUAGUCCACGCCGUAAACGAUGAGUGCUAAGUGUUAGAGGGUUUCCGCCCUUUAGUGCUGAAGUUAACGCAUUAAGCACUCCGCCUGGGGAGUACGGUCGCAAGACUGAAACUCAAAGGAAUUGACGGGGGCCCGCACAAGCGGUGGGGCAUGUGGUUUAAUUCGAAGCAACGCGAAGAACCUUACCAGGUCUUGACAUCCUCUGACAACCCUAGAGAUAGGGCUUUCCCUUCGGGGACAGAGUGACAGGUGGUGCAUGGUUGUCGUCAGCUCGUGCCGUGAGAUGUUGGGUUAAGUCCCGCAACGAGCGCAACCCUUGA
RNAcentral lists this ribosomal RNA (701 nucleotides) under uncultured Bacillus sp. RNAcentral describes it as "bacterial SSU rRNA". It matches the Rfam family "Bacterial small subunit ribosomal RNA", at positions 416 to 1108 of the family's 1533-position model. Lineage: Bacteria; Bacillati; Bacillota; Bacilli; Caryophanales; Bacillaceae. The record is from RNAcentral.